This 253-nucleotide ribosomal RNA is filed under the name uncultured bacterium. RNAcentral describes it as "partial 16S ribosomal RNA". It matches the Rfam family "Bacterial small subunit ribosomal RNA", at positions 524 to 776 of the family's 1533-position model. The record is from RNAcentral.
UACGUAGGGAGCAAGCGUUGUCCGGAAUCAUUGGGCGUAAAGCGCGCGUAGGCGGCCCUGUAAGUCCGUUGUGAAAGUCAAAGGCUCAACCUUUGAAAGCCGAUGGAUACUGCAGGGCUAGAGUCCGGAAGAGGCGAGUGGAAUUCCUGGUGUAGCGGUGGAAUGCGCAGAUAUCAGGAGGAACACCGGUGGCGAAGGCGGCUCUCUGGACGGUGACUGACGCUAAGACGCGAAAGCGUGGGGAGCAAACAGG